Molecule: microRNA precursor, 71 nt
Filed under: Polistes canadensis
Lineage: Eukaryota; Metazoa; Arthropoda; Insecta; Hymenoptera; Vespidae
Description: bantam stem-loop (pca-bantam)
Gene: pca-bantam
Rfam family: bantam microRNA precursor family
Source: miRBase by way of RNAcentral
CGAAACUGGUUUUCACAAUGAUUUGACAGAUAGAUUUGAUUCUGAGAUCAUUGUGAAAGCUGAUUUUGUUC